GAGUGGCGAACGGGUGAGUAACACAUCGGAACGUACCCAGGAGUGGGGGACAACCUCGAGAAAUCGAGGCUAAUACCGCAUACGUCUGAGGGAGAAAGCGGGGGAUCUGCAAGGACCUCGCGCUCAUGGAGCGGCCGAUGUCGGAUUAGCUAGUUGGCGGGGUAAGAGCCCACCAAGGCUACGAUCCGUAGCUGGUUUGAGAGAACGACCAGCCACACUGGGACUGAGACACGGCCCAGACUCCUACGGGAGGCAGCAGUGGGGAAUUUUGGACAAUGGGGGCAACCCUGAUCCAGCCAUGCCGCGUGAGUGAAGAAGGCCUUCGGGUUGUAAAGCUCUUUCGGCCGGAACGAAAUCGCGUACGUGAAUAACGUGCGUGGAUGACGGUACUGGAAGAAGAAGCACCGGCUAACUACGUGCCAGCAGCCGCGGUAAUACGUAGGGUGCGAGCGUUAAUCGGAAUUACUGGGCGUAAAGCGUGCGCAGGCGGUUCUGCAAGUCAGAUGUGAAAUCCCCGGGCUUAACCUGGGAACUGCGUUUGAAACUACGGAGCUAGAGUGCGGCAGAGGGGGGUGGAAUUCCACGUGUAGCAGUGAAAUGCGUAGAUAUGUGGAGGAACACCGAUGGCGAAGGCAGCCCCCUGGGCCGACAC
Molecule: ribosomal RNA, 652 nt
Filed under: uncultured bacterium
Lineage: Bacteria
Description: bacterial SSU rRNA
Rfam family: Bacterial small subunit ribosomal RNA
Source: RNAcentral